CUACGGGCGGCUGCAGGUGCGAAAAUUUUCCAAUGCGCGAAAGCGUGAGAAAGGGAUCUAAAGUGUUUUUCUUUUUAGAAAAACUUUUGUCUUGUGUAAAAAGCAAGACGAAUAAGGGCUGGGCAAGACUGGUGCCAGCCGCCGCGGUAAUACCAGCGGCUCAAGUGGCAGUCAUUUUUAUUGGGUCUAAAACAUCCGUAGCUUGUUCUUUAAGUUUCAUGUAAAAUCGUUGUUCUUAAGACAAUGGCUGCAUGAAAUACUGAAGAACUAGGGACUGGGAGACGUAAUGAGUACUGCUAAGGUAGUGGUAAAAUAUUUUAAUCUUAGCUGGACUAACAACAGCGAAGGCACAUUACGAGAACAGAUCCGACGGUGAGGAAUGAAGGCCAGGGGCGCAAAACGGAUUAGAUACCCCAGUAGUC
Molecule: ribosomal RNA, 422 nt
Filed under: uncultured archaeon
Lineage: Archaea
Description: partial 16S ribosomal RNA
Rfam family: Archaeal small subunit ribosomal RNA
Source: RNAcentral